UGGGGAUGACUUUGAUAGUAG
Molecule: unclassified non-coding RNA, 21 nt
Filed under: Dictyostelium discoideum
Lineage: Eukaryota; Evosea; Eumycetozoa; Dictyosteliales; Dictyosteliaceae
Source: RNAcentral